UUUUGUUUAUUAAAGUUCUCCAUUUUAAUUAGGUGUCCUAUUUUACAUAUUUUAAGAUGAUAAUUGCCGUCUCUUACUUUGCCCUUAGGAACAGGUUUCUUUGAAAGUGCUUAACUACAUUACAAACCUGAGUCAUAGGGACGCCUGGAUAGCCCAGUCAGUUAAGCAUACUUUGGCUCAAGUCAUGAUAUCCAGGGUUGUGGGAUCUAUCACCACCCCCACGGGCUCCCAAGGAGUCUGUUUCAGAUUAUCUGUCCCACUGCCCCUCCCCUACACUGUGUACUCACUCUCUUAAAUAAAUAAAUGAUAUAUUUAAAAACAAAAAAAUAAACCCAAGUCAGAGCCUUACCUUUAUGCGUUAGACUUUAUUAUGGCUAUCCUAUCCAUAAAUGUUCUGGUCUGGGUUAUUUAAAAGGAAAAUAAAAGGCGGAUGCACUGCUGAAUUCAAAUACUUGAGAAUACCAGACUGUGUGUUUUAGAUUUGGCUAUUUAAGAAAUUGACCAAACAUGGCUUGUUGGAGUUGGGCUAGUACUGUGUCUGUAUAAUUUCUAACAACAGAAAAAAAGAAUGUAAAAGCUCUUUGUUAGCUGAAGAUGUCUGUGUAGAUUCUUGGUCCUUUUCAACUCAGAAAAAAAUGUACUUUAGAGAAUUAUGAUUGAUAGUGUAAAUAGUAGAAUCAUGAAACUCUCAUAGUUCCCAUUGCAAUUGUAACAUUUGCCCUUGUGCAGGGAAAAUGUAAGAGUAAUUGUCCAAUUUAUGACAUACAUAGAUGUGCACACAUGUCUGUCGAUAUGUGUGUAGUAAGGUAUGACUGCCACAGUAGUUGUCUUUAGAUUUACCGAAUUUUAUGUAUUUAUAGCUUUAGACAGCAUUAUUUUUUUUACUUUUUAGUAUUCAAAGAAAAAUUUAUCCUUUAUAAAAUUUAGUCAGUAGCUGAAAUAUUAGGAGGGUAAUGAAAGAAGGUUUCUGAACUUUCAGGUUUUUUGUUGACCCCCUCACUGAAGCAAAUCAAAUCUUUUAUCAUAGAAAGUUUUAGAAUCAGUUACUGCACUUUAAGAGUCUGUCAUAAAAAUUCAUGCUCCAGGGGCACCUCCAUGGCUCAGUCAGUUAAGCACCUGCCUUCAGCUCAGGUCAUGAUCCUCUGAGCCCCUUUCCAUCAUACUCCCUGCAGGGAGUCUGUUUCCCCUUCAACUCUGCCCCUCCCACCUCUCAUUGUCUCUCUCUCUCUCUC
Mustela erminea (ermine) is the source of this 1232-nucleotide long non-coding RNA. RefSeq lists it as uncharacterized. The record is from RefSeq and is a predicted model, not a curated record. NCBI's taxonomy places the organism in Eukaryota, Metazoa, Chordata, Mammalia, Carnivora, Mustelidae. The transcript is spliced from 2 exons.